Molecule: ribosomal RNA, 497 nt
Filed under: uncultured bacterium
Lineage: Bacteria
Description: partial 16S ribosomal RNA
Rfam family: Bacterial small subunit ribosomal RNA
Source: RNAcentral
GACGAACGCUGGCGGCGUGCCUAAUACAUGCAAGUAGAACGCUGAAGAGAGGAGCUUGCUCUUCGUGGAUGUGUCGCGCACGGGUGUGUAACGCGUAUGUAACCUGCCUUGCAUCGGGGGAACACCAGUGGACACGAUAGCUAAUACCGCAUAAGCAUGGAUUACACAUUGGAUUUAGUAGAGUGGGGCAAUUGCGCCACUACAACGUGGAUCUGCGUUGUAUUAGUUAGUAGGUGAGGUACAAGCUCACCUAGGCGAGGACGUGGCGCCGAACUGAGAGGGUGAUCAGCCACCCUGGGACUGAGACACGGCACAGACUCCUACGGGAGGCAGCCGUAGGGAUUCGUGGGCAAGGGGGGCAACCCUGACCGAGCAACGCCGCGUGAGUAAGGAGGGACUUCGGGUCGUAAAGCUCUGUUGUAAGUCAAGAACGGGUGUGAGAGUGGAACGUUCACUGUGUGACGGUAGCUUAUCAGAAAGGGACGGCUAACUACGUG